Molecule: ribosomal RNA, 470 nt
Filed under: uncultured bacterium
Lineage: Bacteria
Description: bacterial SSU rRNA
Rfam family: Bacterial small subunit ribosomal RNA
Source: RNAcentral
GAUGAACGCUGGCGGCGUGCUUAACACAUGCAAGUCGAACGGACUUACAUUGAAGCCUAGCGAUAUGUAAGUUAGUGGCGGACGGGUGAGUAACGCGUGGGUAACCUGCCGUAUACAGGGGAAUAACGUUCUGAAAAGAACGCUAAUACCGCAUAACACAUAUUUGCCGCAUGACAGAUAUGUCAAAGAUUUUAUCGCUCGGAGAUGGACUCGCGUCCGAUUAGUUAGUUGGUGAGGUAACGGCUCACCAAGGCCGCGAUCGGUAGCCGGACUGAGAGGUUGAACGGCCACAUUGGGACUGAGACACGGCCCAGACUCCUACGGGAGGCAGCAGUGGGGGAUAUUGCGCAAUGGGGGCAACCCUGACGCAGCAACGCCGCGUGAAGGAUGAAGGUUUUCGGAUUGUAAACUUCUUUUAUCAGGGACGAACUCUGACGGUACCUGAUGAAUAAGCUCCGGCCAACUACGUG